RNAcentral lists this ribosomal RNA (1544 nucleotides) under metagenome. RNAcentral's name for it is "bacterial SSU rRNA". It matches the Rfam family "Bacterial small subunit ribosomal RNA". The record is from RNAcentral.
AGAGUUUGAUCCUGGCUCAGAACGAACGCUGGCGGCGUGGUUUAGGCAUGCAAGUCGAGCGAUCGACCCCGGACAAUUUCCCUUCGGGGAAUGCGAUUGGGAUACGGAGCGGCAAACGGGUGAGUAACACGUGGGUAACCUGCCUUCAAGACUGGGAUAACUCUGAGAAAUUGGAGCUAAUACCGGAUAAAGUCUUUUUAGACAUCUGUAUAAGACUAAAAGUAACCUCUGCUUGCAUGUUGCUACUUGAAGAUGGGCCCGCGUCCUAUCAGCUUGUUGGUGAGGUAACGGCUCACCAAGGCGCUUGACGGGUAGCUGGUCUGAGAGGAUGGUCAGCCACACUGGGACUGAGACACUGCCCAGACUCCUACGGGAGGCUGCAGUCGAGAAUCUUUAGCAAUGGACGAAAGUCUGACUAUGCGACGCCGCGUGCGUGAUGAAGGCCUUCGGGUUGUAAAGCGCUGUCAGGCGGAAGGAAAGUCCAGCUUCUUAAUAAGAUGUUGGAUGUGACAGUACCGCCAGAGGAAGCCACGGCUAACUCCGUGCCAGCAGCCGCGGUAAUACGGAGGUGGCAAGCGUUGUUCGGAAUCACUGGGCGUAAAGGGUGCGUAGGUGGUUUGAUAAGUCUUCGGUGGAAUCUCCCAGCUUAACUGGGAAACUGCCGGAGAUACUGUCAGACUUGAGUUUGGAAAGGGAGAGUGGAAUUCCCGGUGUAGAGGUGAAAUUCGUAGAUAUCGGGAAGAACACCAGUGGCGAAGGCGACUCUCUAGUCCAAAACUGACACUGAGGUACGAAAGCUAGGGGAGCGAACAGGAUUAGAUACCCUGGUAGUCCUAGCCGUAAACGAUGAGCACUUGGUAUUUCUGCGUCAAGCGGGAGUGCCGAAGCUAACGCGUUAAGUGCUCCGCCUGGGGAGUACAGUCGCAAGGCCGAAACUCAAAGGAAUUGACGGGGGCCCGCACAAGCGGUGGAGCAUGUGGUUUAAUUCGACACUACGCGAGGAACCUUACCAGGGCUUGACAUGCUGGAAGUAGGAACCCGAAAGGGGGACCACCUGUAUCCAAUCAGGAGCCAGCACAGGUGCUGCAUGGCUGUCGUCAGCUCGUGUCGUGAGAUGUUGGGUUAAGUCCCACAACGAGCGCAACCCCUAUUCUGUGUUACCAUCAGGUUAAGCUGGGGACUUACAGAAGACUGCCCCGGAUAACGGGGACGAAGGUGGGGACGACGUCAAGUCAGGAUGGCCUUUAUGCCCUGGGCUACACACGUGCUACAAUGGCCUGUACAAUGGGUAGCAAUACCGCGAGGUGGAGCUAAUCCCCGAAAGCAGGCCUCAAUUCGGAUUGGAGGCUGCAAUUCGCCUCCAUGAAGCUGGAAUCGCUAGUAAUGGCGCACCAGCAACGGCGCCGUGAAUACGUUCCCGGGCCUUGUACACACCGCCCGUCAAGUCAACCGAGUCGAAUGCACUAGAAGUCGUUAACUCAACCCUUCGGGGAGAGCAGCGCCCAAGGUGUGUUUGGCAAGGGGGACUAAGUCGUAACAAGGUA